GGGAAGGUGCCAGAGUGGACGAUUGGGGCGGUCUCGAAAACCGCUGCGGGGCUUGCUCCGCCGUGGGUUCGAAUCCCACCCUUCCCG
Molecule: transfer RNA, 87 nt
Filed under: Anaerolineae bacterium
Lineage: Bacteria; Bacillati; Chloroflexota; Anaerolineae
Also listed under: 3 other names
Description: tRNA-Ser
Rfam family: tRNA
About the family: Transfer RNA (tRNA) molecules are approximately 80 nucleotides in length. Their secondary structure includes four short double-helical elements and three loops (D, anti-codon, and T loops).
Source: RNAcentral